UGGUGUACCAUGUUCCCUAUGCGCGUGGCUAUCAGAUCUGCCACCUCAAUUAAUGAGGGAGAUCUGAUGCCCCUUGUUUUUUAUUUUUCUUUUUAUUUUUUUAUUUUUCUUUUAAUCCUUUUAUUUUGUUUAAUUUAUAGUAAAUUCAUUUUUAGUCCAAAAAAUAUGGGACUUUCACCAAAAAAUCUUUAAAUAUUUCCAUCUUCCAUAUUUUGAAUUAAAAUCUUUUUUUUGGAUUAAUUUUGAUAUUUUACAUGAAUUAAAUGAUUUUUAACUUGUUUUUAAAUAUUUUAAAAUACUUAUGACUUUCCAAAAAUUGUGAAUUUUUUUGUCUAAG
Molecule: long non-coding RNA, 337 nt
Filed under: Lathyrus oleraceus (garden pea)
Lineage: Eukaryota; Viridiplantae; Streptophyta; Magnoliopsida; Fabales; Fabaceae
Description: Pisum sativum (pea) long non-coding RNA (PSAT_LNC031427)
Source: RNAcentral